UAAUACGGAGGGUGCAAGCGUUAAUCGGAAUUACUGGGCGUAAAGCGCACGUAGGCGGUGUGUUAAGUUGGAUGUGAAAGCCCCGGGCUCAACCUGGGAAUUGCAUUCAAAACUGGCACGCUAGAGUAUGUGAGAGGGGGGUAGAAUUCCAAGUGUAGCGGUGAAAUGCGUAGAGAUUUGGAGGAAUACCAGUGGCGAAGGCGGCCCCCUGGCACAAUACUGACGCUGAGGUGCGAAAGCGUGGGGAGCAAACAGG
Molecule: ribosomal RNA, 256 nt
Filed under: uncultured archaeon
Lineage: Archaea
Description: partial 16S ribosomal RNA
Rfam family: Bacterial small subunit ribosomal RNA
Source: RNAcentral